AGCUAAAGAUAUGCAAAAGGAAUUGGAAGAUUUUAAACAAAGAUGUAAAAAAAUUGAAAUUGAAGACAUUGAUUGAAGGUGAACUAGAAAAUACCAAACUCUUUCAAUAUAUAAGGAAACUUUACAAGAAGGAGGAUAAUUGCAGGAGGAUAUCCAUUAAAUGUUUUAAACGCAUGGAAUGGCACAAAGUUGGUUAAUGAUAUUGGGAUUGAGAAAAUUAAAAGAUAAAUGUAUAGUUUGCUUCUAUAUCCUUAGAACUGCAUUAUAUGUUCUGAAAUUUAAUCAAUCUGUGUAUGAAUCCAUCUUAAGUUGA
Vicia villosa (hairy vetch) is the source of this 313-nucleotide long non-coding RNA. RefSeq lists it as uncharacterized. NCBI's taxonomy places the organism in Eukaryota, Viridiplantae, Streptophyta, Magnoliopsida, Fabales, Fabaceae. The transcript has 3 exons. The record is from RefSeq and is a predicted model, not a curated record.